Molecule: ribosomal RNA, 252 nt
Filed under: uncultured bacterium
Lineage: Bacteria
Description: partial 16S ribosomal RNA
Rfam family: Bacterial small subunit ribosomal RNA
Source: RNAcentral
UACGUAGGUCCCGAGCGUUGUCCGGAUUUAUUGGGCGUAAAGCGAGCGCAGGUGGUUUAUUAAGUCUGGUGUAAAAGGCAGUGGCUCAACCAUUGUAUGCAUUGGAAACUGGUAGACUUGAGUGCAGGAGAGGAGAGUGGAAUUCCAUGUGUAGCGGUGAAAUGCGUAGAUAUAUGGAGGAACACCGGUGGCGAAAGCGGCUCUCUGGCCUGUAACUGACACUGAGGCUCGAAAGCGUGGGGAGCAAACUGG